UACGUAGGCAGCAAGCGUUGUUCGGAGUUACUGGGCGUAAAGGGUGCGUAGGCGGUUGUUUAAGUUUGGUGUGAAAUCUCCCGGCUCAACUGGGAGGGUGCGCCGAAUACUGAAUGACUCGAGUGCGGGAGAGGAGAGUGGAAUUCCUGGUGUAGCGGUGAAAUGCGUAGAUAUCAGGAGGAACACCGGUGGUGUAGACGGCUUUCUGGACCGUAACUGACGCUGAGACACGAAAGCGUGGGUAGCAAACAGG
Molecule: ribosomal RNA, 253 nt
Filed under: uncultured bacterium
Lineage: Bacteria
Description: partial 16S ribosomal RNA
Rfam family: Bacterial small subunit ribosomal RNA
Source: RNAcentral